GCCUUCGUGGUGUAGUGGUCAGCAUGCUCGACGUGUAUUCGAGAGGUUCGUGGUUCGAGUCCCGGCGAAGGCA
Molecule: non-coding RNA, 73 nt
Organism: Stegodyphus mimosarum
Lineage: Eukaryota; Metazoa; Arthropoda; Arachnida; Araneae; Eresidae
Source: Rfam